RNAcentral lists this ribosomal RNA (266 nucleotides) under uncultured Scutellospora. RNAcentral describes it as "partial small subunit ribosomal RNA". It matches the Rfam family "Eukaryotic small subunit ribosomal RNA", at positions 605 to 877 of the family's 1831-position model. The record is from RNAcentral. Lineage: Eukaryota; Fungi; Glomeromycota; Glomeromycetes; Diversisporales; Gigasporaceae.
UAAAGUUGUUGUAGUUAAAAAGCUCGUAGUUGAAUUUCGGGGUUCUACCGUUGGUCGAGGCAAUAGUCUGUACUGGCGUGUGGAAUUUCUACCUUCUGGGGAACCAUCAUGUUAUUUAUUUAACGUGGUGGGAAACCAGGACCUUUACCUUGAAAAAAUUAGAGUGUUCAAACCAGGCUUACGUCUGAAUACAUUAGCAUGGAAUAAUAAAAUNGGACGGUGGUCCUGUUUUGUUGGUUUCUGAAUCACCGUAAUGAUUAAUAGGG